AUGGCCCUCGAGGACUUCUACGCCGCCUUCCCCAACUCCUCCGCUCGGGUUCGGAUCCUGCAGCGCGACUCCGGCGGGGACGUCGUCGUCGCCGCGUCCGCCGCGCUGCAGCUGAUGACGAGCCAGGGAGCGCGCGCCAUCCUCGGCCCGCAGUCGUCCGUCGAGGCGGCCUUCGUCGCCGACCUCGCCACGCGGGCCGAGGUCCCCGUCGUCUCCUUCUCGGCCACCAGCCCGUCGGUGUCGCCCGCCUCGGCGGGCUUCUUCGUCCGCGCCGCGCUGAGCGACGCGGCGCAGGCCGGCGCCGUCGCCGCGCUCGCCACGCACUUCGGGUGGCGCCGCGUCGUGCCCAUCUACCAGGACGACGACUACGGCGCCGCCUUCGUGCCCUUCCUCGUGGACGCCCUCGCCGACGCGCGCGCCGAGGUCCCCUACCGCUGCGCGCUCCCGGAAGGGGCGGCCCACGACGCCAUCGCCGCGGAGCUGUACCACAUGGAGUCCGAGCAGACGCGCGUCUUUGUGCUGCACACGCGCCCCGGGCUCGCGAAGAAGGUGUUCGCCGCCGCCGCGGAGGCCGGCAUGACGGGCGCCGGCUACGCGUGGAUCAUCACCGACAGGCUCACGGGCCUCGUCGGCUUCGUCGACCCGCCGCAGGGCGUCAUCGGGCUCGCGCCCUACGUGCCGACCACGCCGCGGCUGCGCGAGGUCAAGAGGCGGUGGGUGCGCCGGUACAUGCGUGACCAUCCGCAGGACGAGCCGGAGCACGCCGUGGUGGGCUGCUACGCCGUGUGGGCGUACGACGCCGCAUGGGCCGUCGCGUCCGCGGCAGAGCGACUCAGCUCCGGCGACCUAUCAUCGCCGCCGGGGCUGGUGGGCGGCAAGGGCGGCCCCACCGACAUCUCCGGGCUCCGCAAGUCAAGAUCGGGCGAGAAGCUCCUCCGAGCUAUCAACGACACGACGUUCGAGGGCCUCGGCGGCAGGUUUGAGCUCAUCGACGGCGAGCUCGCGGUGCCGGCGUUCCGCGUGUUAAACAUCGACGAUGGGAAAGCCAAGGGCAUCGGGUUCUGGACGCCGCGGCACGGGCUGAGCCGGCAUGUCGGUCGCGGUUCCAGCAAAGCGGGCGGCGAGCUCUCGCCGUUCAUCUGGCCGGGAGAGUCGACGGUCCGGCCAAGUGGGUGGGCGCAGCCGACGAGCGCCGCGAAGCUGCGGGUGGCGGUGCCGGGGAGGAUCCCGCGCAGCUAUCGGGCGAUCAUGCACAUUGACGUGGACCCGGUGACGAACCGGACAACGGCCGGCGGGUUCGUGAUCGAGGCGUUCGAGGCGGCGGUGCGGCUGCUUCCGUACGCUCUGCCGUUCGACUACGUGAAGGCGGACCCCAUGCCCUACGACCACUUGGCCCAGGCGGUUAACACUUAA
RNAcentral lists this ribosomal RNA (1413 nucleotides) under Triticum aestivum (bread wheat). RNAcentral's name for it is "partial small subunit ribosomal RNA". The record is from RNAcentral. Lineage: Eukaryota; Viridiplantae; Streptophyta; Magnoliopsida; Poales; Poaceae.